Drosophila sulfurigaster albostrigata is the source of this 2284-nucleotide RNA transcript. It is a transcript of the gene named probable lysine-specific demethylase 4A, with no coding region annotated. The record is from RefSeq and is a predicted model, not a curated record. The transcript is spliced from 4 exons. NCBI's taxonomy places the organism in Eukaryota, Metazoa, Arthropoda, Insecta, Diptera, Drosophilidae.
ACCGUGCCAAAGGGAGUAAACAGACUUUAACAACACUUUUUUAUUUGUUUUGUGUUAAAUUUGUUCAAAAUAUGUCGACUCGUUUAAGUUUUGACGAUGGUGAUCAAAAUACCAAUCCUAGAAUAAUGACAUUUCGUCCCAGCUAUGAGGAGUUUAAAAACUUUGCCGAUUACAUAGCGUACAUGGAAUCACGUGGGGCCCAUAAGGCCGGCCUCGUUAAAAUUAUUCCUCCCGUUGAGUGGAUUCCGCGCAAAUCGGGCUACGAUAUUGAGAACAUAAAUAUGACAAUCCCAGCACCGAUUAAUCAGGUCGUUACGGGAGCACAUGGAGUUUAUCAGCAAUUCAACAUUCAACAGAGACGUCAAAUGACAUUGCGUCAAUUUCGGGACAAGGCCAAUUCGGAGAUGUUUCAGACGCCGCGCCACAUUGACUACGAAGAUUUGGAGCGCAAGUAUUGGAAGAACAUAACAUAUAUAUCGCCAGAUUAUGCUGCCGAUGUCAAGGGUUCACUAAGUGAUGAAGAUUUGGACGUAUGGAAUAUUGGACGACUGGACACUAUCCUGAAUUUGGUUAAUACCGAUUAUGGUAUCGAAAUCGAUGGCGUUAAUACAGCUUAUUUGUACUUCGGGAUGUGGAAGAGCUCCUUUGCCUGGCACACCGAGGAUAUGGAUUUAUAUUCCAUCAAUUAUUUGCAUUUUGGUGCCCCAAAAACUUGGUAUGCCAUACCGCCAGCCCAUGGCAGACGCUUGGAAAAGUUGGCCAACAGUCUUUUCAAUGAGAACCAUCAGGAAUGCAAUGCCUACUUGCGUCACAAGAUGACUAUGAUCAGUCCUAAGGUCUUGCGUCAGCACAAUAUACCGUACAAUAAGAUUACACAGGAGGCAGGCGAAAUAAUGAUCACGUUUCCUUUCGGCUAUCAUGCUGGAUUCAAUCAUGGCUUCAAUGGUGCCGAGUCCACAAAUUUCGCCUCAAAACGUUGGAUCGAGUAUGGGAAACGUGCCAGUAUUUGUAAAUGCCGUAGUGAUAUGGUUAAAAUAUCCAUGGAGACAUUUGUGCGUCACUUUCAGCCAGAACGCUAUCAAAACUGGCUGCGCGGCGAAGACUACGGCAACCACCCGGAGGAGCCUGGCAAAAUAUGCGCUGCAGCGGCACCCACUAUUAAUGAGUACAAAAUGAUUGAAGAAAGAACGCAGUUAUCGAAAUUGAAGGGCAAUUCUGCUCAAAAGCGUGGCUGCUCUAUGCCCAACGAUAUUGAAGAAGCCAAUGAUGACGAUGACAAAGCAAGCGUGGCCAGCAGCAGUUUGAACACAAAGCAAGUCAUGGUCAAGCUACGCAAAAUGCCAAUGCCAGCUUCAAAUGAAGCUACUAGCGACGAAAAAGCUGCGCCUUCGAGUUCAGCUGCCAUAACCAAAGAGAAAUAUGAUUUCAAUUCAAUUGCAGUUGUGCGUGUGAAGCGGCUAUGGAACGCUUUACCAUGCACGGAGAACGGCACAAAUCUACUCCCAAACGGAGUUGUUAAGAAUACGAAACGUAUGCGCUUUCAGACAAAAGUGCUGACACUGGACGACGAUGAGUAAGUAUGCCAGAAAGUCGGCAUACUCCACAAUCAUAUCGAUCUCCGUUGUUAGUAGCUUUAUAAUUACAGACUCAAUCAAAGAUAUUCUAUAAGUUAGCUAAAUAACAAGGACAAAUGCGGAUUUUGCAAUAUUUUAAUACAUUUAUAAAGAAAUCACAUUCUGGACCUUUUUACAGAUGGGGCUGCAGCUGAUUGUCGAUGUACCUCCCCUAUGAAAUGAUUAUAUACGGCGUACUACACAUUAAGUACGAUGUUUAUUUAACUUGAAACGCAGCUCGUCAAGUUCGCAUAUGCCAGUUUUACAUAUAAACAGUAGGUAUCCCAAACGUUUCGAUAUCACUGUGAAAUGAUUGAAUACAGACAGAGGCUAAGAAAAGCCGGCUUAAACGUACAAUAAUAUUAAUAACUGCUUCAAACUUAUAUAUUUUGUUUUUUUCUUUCGUCGUAUGAACUUAACACUUGUCUUCUCUGUUAUUUUAUGUAUGCAUUGUAAUAUGUAUGUAUAUGAAUAAAAUUAUGAACAAAAAGAUAAAUUUGAUCGAAAUACAAAAAAAGUUACAUGAAAUCUUUUCUGUGCUUGCACAUUUUUCAUGUUUAGGUGUAUAAAUAUUUUUCCUUUCCUCUUAUUUUUUUGUUAUUCCAGGACUCGCGAAGCAAAUUGAAUAUGUUUUGAAUUCGCACAGAUUGCACUAAUGAGUUUUACAUUUG